Molecule: ribosomal RNA, 484 nt
Filed under: uncultured bacterium
Lineage: Bacteria
Description: partial 16S ribosomal RNA
Rfam family: Bacterial small subunit ribosomal RNA
Source: RNAcentral
AUUGAACGCUGGCGGCAGGCCUAACACAUGCAAGUCGAGCGGAUGAAGGGAGCUUGCUCCUGGAUUCAGCGGCGGACGGGUGAGUAAUGCCUAGGAAUCUACCUGGUAGUGGGGGAUAACGUCCGGAAACGGGCGCUAAUACCGCAUACGUCCUGAGGGAGAAAGUGGGGGAUCUUCGGACCUCACGCUAUCAGAUGAGCCUAGGUCGGAUUAGCUAGUUGGUGGGGUAAAGGCCUACCAAGGCGACGAUCCGUAACUGGUCUGAGAGGAUGAUCAGUCACACUGGAACUUAGACACGGUCCAGACGCCUACGGGAGGCAGCAGUGGGGAAUAUUGGAAAAUGGGCGAAAGCCUGAUCCAGCCAUGCCGCGUGUGUGAAGAAGGUCUUCGGAUUGUAAAGCACUUUAAGUUGGGAGGAAGGGCAGUAAGUUAAUACCUUGCUGGUUUGACGUUACCAACAGAAUAAGCACCGGCUAACUUCGUG